CAUGAAGUCGGAGUUGCUAGUAAUCGCGGAUCAGAAUGCCGCGGUGAAUGCGUUCCCGGGGUCUUGUACACACCGCCCGUCACACCAUGGAAGUUGGGGGCGCCCGAAGUUGCCUAAGAAAUAAGGUACCUAAGGCGAAACCAAUGACUGGGGUGAAGUCGUAACAAGGUAGC
Molecule: ribosomal RNA, 173 nt
Filed under: uncultured bacterium
Lineage: Bacteria
Description: partial 16S ribosomal RNA
Rfam family: Bacterial small subunit ribosomal RNA
Source: RNAcentral